Molecule: non-coding RNA, 26 nt
Filed under: Callithrix jacchus (white-tufted-ear marmoset)
Lineage: Eukaryota; Metazoa; Chordata; Mammalia; Primates; Cebidae
Also listed under: 1 other name
Source: RNAcentral
GGGUCGAUGAUGAGAACCUUAUAUUG